GUCUGUUUGAAGGUAUAAAAAGUUUGACCUGCCCACUGAUAAAUUUGUUAAAGGGCCGCGGUAUCCUGACUGUGCAAAGGUAGCAUAAUCGUUAGUUUUUUAAUUGGAAUCUUGUAUGAAUGGUUUGACAAAAGAAAAUCUGUCUUUAUUGUUUUUUAUUGAAUUUAACUUUUAAGUGAAAAGGCUUAAAUAAAUUAAAAAGACGAUAAGACCCUAUAAAGCUUGAUAUUAAUUUUUUUAUUUAAUUAAAUUUUAAAAUGUAAUAAAGAUCUGGUAAAAAAGUUUUAUUUUGUUGGGGUGACAAUGGUAUAAUGAUUAUUAACUGUUAAUUUUUUUAGACAAAAAUAAUUGAAUAAGUUAUUUAGAAGAUCCUGUAUUAGAGAUUAAAAGUUUAAGUUACUUUAGGGAUAACAGCGUUAUUUUUUUUGAGAGUUCUUAUCGAGAAAAAAGUUUGCGACCUCGAUGUUGAAUUAAAAUAUCUAUAUAAUUGUAGCAGUUAUAUAAGAAGGUCUGUUCGACCUUUAAAAUUUUACAUGAUUUGAGUUCAGACCGGCGUGAG
This 559-nucleotide ribosomal RNA is filed under the name Pseudosesarma crassimanum. RNAcentral's name for it is "partial 16S ribosomal RNA". It matches the Rfam family "Bacterial large subunit ribosomal RNA", at positions 1831 to 2625 of the family's 2925-position model. The record is from RNAcentral. Lineage: Eukaryota; Metazoa; Arthropoda; Malacostraca; Decapoda; Sesarmidae.